GGUUAUUGUUAGUGGAAAGCUCAGAGCUCAGCGUGCCAAGUCUAUGAAAUUCAAGGAUGGAUAUAUGAUCUCCUCUGGUCAACCUGUCAAUGAAUAUAUUGACUCUGCUGUCAGGCAUGUUCUUUUAAGACAGGUUAGUUGCUUCCCAUUUCUGCAUUUGCUCCUGUCUGCAGUCUUUGAUUUGCUAAUUUUUCUGAAGACUCAUAUUUUGUUUUUUAUUGUCUUGUUCCUCUGGUAUUAGGGUGUGCUUGGUAUUAAGGUCAAGAUCAUGCUUGACUGGGAUCCUAAGGGCAAGGUAGGACCAAUGACACCAUUGCCCGAUCUUGUCACCAUUCAUCCUCCCAAGGAAGAAGAAGAGUAUGUCCCUCCAGUAUUGACAACCAAUAUUGAGAUUCCAGUUCCAGUUCCAGUUGCAUAAGUCCUGAAUAUCGAUAAAUAAGUCUUCUAGUACCGAGUCAAGGCUCUUUGUUUUUAUUAUAUACACAUCUUAAGAGGAGAAAACACU
RNAcentral lists this long non-coding RNA (505 nucleotides) under Jatropha curcas. RNAcentral describes it as "long non-coding RNA (JCUR_LNC001877)". The record is from RNAcentral. Lineage: Eukaryota; Viridiplantae; Streptophyta; Magnoliopsida; Malpighiales; Euphorbiaceae.